This 253-nucleotide ribosomal RNA is filed under the name uncultured bacterium. RNAcentral describes it as "partial 16S ribosomal RNA". It matches the Rfam family "Bacterial small subunit ribosomal RNA", at positions 524 to 776 of the family's 1533-position model. The record is from RNAcentral.
GACAGAGGUGCCGAGCGUUAGGCGGAAUCACUGGGCUUAAAGCGUGUGUAGGCGGACUUCUAAGUACCUUGUGAAAUCCCACGGCUCAACCGUGGAACUGCUGGGUAUACUGGUCGUCUUGAGCCACCUAGGGGCGAGCGGAACAAGCGGUGGAGCGGUGAAAUGCGUAGAUAUCGCUUGGAACGCCAAUGGUGAAAACAGCUCGCUGGGGGUGUGCUGACGCUGAGACACGAAAGCCAGGGGAGCGAACGGG